GAUGAACGCUGGCGGCGUGCCUAAUACAUGCAAGUCGAACGAAACUUCUUUAUCACCGAGUGCUUGCACUCACCGAUAAAGAGUUGAGUGGCGAACGGGUGAGUAACACGUGGGCAGCCUGCCCAAAAGAGGGGGAUAACACUUGGAAACAGGUGCUAAUACCGCAUAACCAUAGUUACCGCAUGGUAACUAUGUAAAAGGUGGCUAUACUACCGCUUUUGGAUGGGCCCGCGGCGCAUUAGCUAGUUGGUAGGGUAAAGGCUUACCAAGGCAAUGAUGCGUAGCCGAAUUGAGAGGUUGAUCGGCCACAUUGGGACUGAGACACGGCCCAAACUCCUACGGGAGGCAGCAGUAGGGAAUCUUCCACGAUGGGCGAAAGCCUGAUGGAGCAACGCCGCGUGGGUGAAGAAGGUCUUCGGAUCGUAAAACCCUGUUGUUAGAGAAGAAAGUGCGUGAGAGUAACUGUUCACGUUUCGACGGUAUCUAACCAGAAAGCCACGGCUAACUACGUG
Molecule: ribosomal RNA, 512 nt
Filed under: uncultured bacterium
Lineage: Bacteria
Description: partial 16S ribosomal RNA
Rfam family: Bacterial small subunit ribosomal RNA
Source: RNAcentral